AACCUCCGCAAUGUGAGAAAUCGCGACGGGGGGAUCCCAAGUGCCAUUCUUAACGGGAUGGCUUUUCAUUAGUGUAAAAAGCUUUUGGAAUAAGAGCUGGGCAAGACCGGUGCCAGCCGCCGCGGUAACACCGGCAGCUCUAGUGGUAACAAUUUUUAUUGGGCCCAAAGCGUUCGUAGCCGGUUUGAUAGGUCACUGGUGAAAUCCUGUAGCUUAACUGUGGGAAUUGCUGGUGAUACUGUUGAACUUGAGGUCGGGAGAGGUUAGCGGUACUCCCAGGGUAGAGGUGAAAUUCUGUAAUCCUGGGAGGACCACCUGUGGCGAAGGCGGCUAACUGGAACGAACCUGACGGUGAGGGACGAAAGCUAGGGGCGCGAACCGGAUUAGAUACCCGGGUAGUCCUAACUGUAAACGAUGCGGACUUGGUGUUGGGGUGGCUUUGAGCUGCUUCAGUGCCGAAGGGAAGCUGUUAAGUCCGCCGCCUGGGAAGUACGGUCGCAAGACUGAAACUUAAAGGAAUU
RNAcentral lists this ribosomal RNA (521 nucleotides) under uncultured bacterium. Its description in RNAcentral is "bacterial SSU rRNA". It matches the Rfam family "Archaeal small subunit ribosomal RNA", at positions 345 to 866 of the family's 1478-position model. The record is from RNAcentral.